UUUAGGGAGACCUACCCACUUGUUGAUUGAGAGAUUUCAGUCAUGAAUAUCAUCAUCGCAAGCUGGUCAUCCUAGGUCGUGCACAGAUGAGUUUUAUCUUAAAGUUUACCUUCAAACUAUAUUCUGGUUUGGUUUUUAAUCAGCACCAAAAAGGAAAGUAAAAUUUAUCUUCUUUUUGUCUGCUGAGUGAAAGCUCAGUAAAAGAACCUUGAAAAUUGGAUAGAGAAAAGGCAGUACGACAGACAAAGACUAUGUUCUGAGUUUGGGGAUGUGAUGUUGAAAGAUGUUGCGUUCUAGAGCGAAGAAAGAAGUCGAGUUUGUAUAUGUUAUGUAGAGAAAGU
RNAcentral lists this unclassified non-coding RNA (341 nucleotides) under Sherwoodiella mauiensis HA4860-CV1. RNAcentral describes it as "16S-23S ribosomal RNA intergenic spacer". Lineage: Bacteria; Bacillati; Cyanobacteriota; Cyanophyceae; Nostocales; Calotrichaceae. The record is from RNAcentral.